Molecule: non-coding RNA, 196 nt
Filed under: Photobacterium profundum SS9
Lineage: Bacteria; Pseudomonadati; Pseudomonadota; Gammaproteobacteria; Vibrionales; Vibrionaceae
Description: GcvB RNA
Rfam family: GcvB RNA
About the family: The gcvB gene encodes a small untranslated RNA involved in expression of the dipeptide and oligopeptide transport systems in Escherichia coli. Included several unknown homologues in alignment (Bateman A pers obs). It base-pairs with SorC.
Source: Rfam by way of RNAcentral
GUUUCGCAACGUAGGCUUAAGCGUCUGAUAUUCUGCCCUCUGGCAUUAUCGGUUAAGUCAAUGUUGCGAUGUUGUGUUUGCAUAUUGUCCGAGUUGUGUCGGACAGGUAGUGAAUCUACCAUUUACUUCUUUUUUGUUUGACCUGUCUGUCAAAGUUUGAUUCUUAGCACUGCGCCCCAACGCAGUGCUUUUUUUU